AGCUCCAAUAGCGUAUCUUAAAGUUGCUGCAGUUAAAAAGCUCGUAGUUGCAUUUCCGAGGCAAGGGAUUAGUCCGACCUUUGGUGGGUAUUUAAUCCUCUUGCCUCGUCCUUGAGUGGUGCUUCUUGGUAUUAAGUUAUCGAGGAGAUAGCCGCUCAUCGUUUACUGUGAGAAAAUUAGAGUGUUCAAAGCAGGCUUAUGCCGUUGAAUAUAUUAGCAUGGAAUAAUAAGAUAGGACCUCGGUACUAUUUUGUUGGUUUGAGAACCAAGGUAAUGAUGAAUAGGGACAGUUGGGAGUAUUCGUAUUCAGUUGUCAGAGGUGAAAUUCUUAGAUUUACGGAAGACGAACUACUGCGAAAGCAUUUACCAAGGAUGUUUUCA
This 381-nucleotide ribosomal RNA is filed under the name uncultured marine Chaetocerotaceae. RNAcentral's name for it is "SSU rRNA". It matches the Rfam family "Eukaryotic small subunit ribosomal RNA", at positions 587 to 972 of the family's 1831-position model. The record is from RNAcentral. Lineage: Eukaryota; Bacillariophyta; Thalassiosirophyceae; Chaetocerotales; Chaetocerotaceae.